UUCUAGUAAAUUAUUGAACCUGAGAGGGAUUGUGGGAACACCCAGAUUUGUAGCCAGCUGGUCAGAAAUGCUGGUGGUCUGAGACCCCACCUUGUGGUUGGCAUUUGAAGUGAAACAGUCUUGUAGGGGACCGUGCCCUUUAACGUGUGGAGUCUCCACUAACGCCGGGUAUUUGUAUUUGCAUCUGGGGAAUCAUAUUACAGUACACCAGUUGGUGUCAGAACAGUUGGUAUCAGAAGAGUCAGCCUCGUCCAGAGUCACAGAAGGGCUGCCAGCAGCAACAUACCUACUAGUCUAUUUCCAGCAAGAGAGAUAGAAGAGCCUUUCCCCAAAAUAUGGAAUUGAUGACCAUUCCUUCAGUCUUAUUGUGCCCGCUUAUGUCAUCCUAGACCUAAGACAAUCACCAGGAGAAUGUCACAUAAUGAUUGGUUUAAGCCCAGAUUCUUAAACCAAGCACAGGGGAUUAUUGUGAUUGGCUAAUCAAUCUUCCCAUCCUGCCCACAAGAACCUAGAAAUGGGGUCAUUGACCCUUGGCCCAUGUUAGCUAUUUUGAGGAGUGGUAAAUAAUUAAACAAAGCUGACGUUCUGUUAGAAAGGGAACUGGGGGCCAGCUGUGGUGGCUCA
RNAcentral lists this long non-coding RNA (624 nucleotides) under Homo sapiens (human). Its description in RNAcentral is "HSALNT0038757". The record is from RNAcentral. Lineage: Eukaryota; Metazoa; Chordata; Mammalia; Primates; Hominidae.